RNAcentral lists this ribosomal RNA (481 nucleotides) under uncultured Leptotrichia sp. Its description in RNAcentral is "partial 16S ribosomal RNA". The record is from RNAcentral. Lineage: Bacteria; Fusobacteriati; Fusobacteriota; Fusobacteriia; Fusobacteriales; Leptotrichiaceae.
CACGUAUUUAGCCGUCGCUUCUUCUGCAGGUACCGUCAUUCUCUUCUUCCCUGCUGAAAGCACUUUACAAUCCGAAAACCUUCUUCGUGCACACAGGAUUGCUGGAUCAGGGUUGCCCCCAUUGUCCAAUAUUCCCCACUGCUGCCUCCCGUAGGAGUAAGGGCCGUAUCUCAGUCCCCUUGUGGCCGUUCACCCUCUCAGGCCGGCUACCUAUCAUCGCCUUGGUGGGCCGUUACCCCGCAACCAGCUAAUAGGACGCAAAGCUCUCCCGCAGCAUCUCUUUUCAUUGCCGGGCACAUGCGUACCGGCAAUUAUAUCAGGUUUUAUCAGUCGUUUCCGUCUGUUAUCCCUGUCUGCGGGGCAAGUUCUUUACGCGUUACUCACCCGUCCGCCUUGGCUUGGCUGUGCAAGCACAGCUUUGCCAAGACUUGCAUGUGUUAAGCAUUCUGUCAGCGUUCAUCCUGAGCCAGGAUCAAACUCU